GCAGUCGAGCGAAUGGAUUAAGAGCUUGCUCUUAUGAAGUUAGCGGCGGACGGGUGAGUAACACGUGGGUAACCUACCCAUAAGACUGGGAUAACUCCGGGAAACCGGGGCUAAUACCGGAUAAUAUUUUGAACUGCAUAGUUCGAAAUUGAAAGGCGGCUUCGGCUGUCACUUAUGGAUGGACCCGCGUCGCAUUAGCUAGUUGGUGAGGUAACGGCUCACCAAGGCGACGAUGCGUAGCCGACCUGAGAGGGUGAUCGGCCACACUGGGACUGAGACACGGCCCAGACUCCUACGGGAGGCAGCAGUAGGGAAUCUUCCGCAAUGGACGAAAGUCUGACGGAGCAACGCCGCGUGAGUGAUGAAGGCUUUCGGGUCGUAAAACUCUGUUGUUAGGGAAGAACAAGUGCUAGUUGAAUAAGCUGGCACCUUGACGGUACCUAACCAGAAAGCCACGGCUAACUACGUGCCAGCAGCCGCGGUAAUACGUAGGUGGCAAGCGUUAUCCGGAAUUAUUGGGCGUAAAGCGCGCGCAGGUGGUUUCUUAAGUCUGAUGUGAAAGCCCACGGCUCAACCGUGGAGGGUCAUUGGAAACUGGGAGACUUGAGUGCAGAAGAGGAAAGUGGAAUUCCAUGUGUAGCGGUGAAAUGCGUAAAGAUAUGGAGGAACACCAGUGGCGAAAGCGACUUUCUGGUCUGUAACUGACAC
This 708-nucleotide ribosomal RNA is filed under the name bacterium 78-L049393-122-001-F10. Its description in RNAcentral is "bacterial SSU rRNA". It matches the Rfam family "Bacterial small subunit ribosomal RNA", at positions 57 to 746 of the family's 1533-position model. The record is from RNAcentral.